UUAAGGAAAUAAGGGCACACAGUGAAUGCCUUGGCACCAAGAGCCGAUGAAGGACGCAACUAACGGCGAAACGCCACGGGGAGCGGUAAGUACGCGACGAUCCGUGGGACUCCGAAUGGGGGAACCCAUCACGUGGAAGACGUGAUAUCCAGCAAUGGAAGGAAAACGCGGGGAACUGAAAUAUCUAAGUACCCGCAGGAAAAGAAAGUAACAACGAUUCCGCAAGUAGCGACGAGCGAACGCGGAGGAGCCAGACACCAGAACAGUAAGAAAACCACAUGCUAGGCGAGCGGCGUGGGAAAGCCGGCCAGAGAGGGUGAGAGCCCCGUAGCCGAAAGCGUGGGGACUGGGGUGUCGAGAAGUACGGCGAGACACGAGGAAUCUUGUCGGAAGAUGCGAGGACCAUCUCGUAAGGCUAAAUACUCCUUGGUGACCGAUAGUGAACCAGUACCGUGAGGGAAAGGUGAAAAGAACCCCGGGAGGGGAGUGAAAGAGAACCUGAAACUGUGUGCUUACAGUUAGUCAGAGCCCGUUAAUGGGUGAUGGCAUGCCUUUUGUAGAAUGAACCGGCGAGUUACGGCGUCUGGCAAGGUUAAGCCUGAAGGGGUGGAGCCGAAGCGAAAGCGAGUCUGAAUAGGGCGAAGAAGUCAGGCGCUGUAGACCCGAAACUGGGUGAGCUAGCCAUGAGCAGGCUGAAGUUUGGGUAAGACCAAAUGGAGGGCCGAACCAGGACACGUUAAAAAGUGUUUGGAUGACUUGUGGCUAGGGGUGAAAUUCCAAUCGAACUCAGAGAUAGCUGGUUCUCCCCGAAAUAGCUUUAGGGCUAGCGUUGGCGUAAGAGUUUAUCGAAGGUAGAGCACUGAAUGUGUGAUGGCCCCACCUCGGGGUACUGAGCCCAAUCAAACUACGAAUGUCGGUAAACGCGGCCAGCAGUCAGACUGUGGGUGAUAAGGUUCAUGGUCAAAAGGGAAAGAGCCCAGACCGCCAGAUAAGGUCCCAAAGUCGAUGCUAAGUGGAAAAGGAAGUGGGGAUGCACAAACAACUAGGAGGUUGGCUUAGAAGCAGCCAUCCUUUAAAGAGUGCGUAAAAGCUCACUAGUCGAGUGAUCCUGCGCCGAAAAUGUACCGGGGCUAAGCAUCGCACCGAAUCUGCGGAUUUAUGGUGAACCAUAAGUGGUAGGGGAGCGUUCCAACAGCGGUGAAGGCAGAUCGGAAGGACUGCUGGAGUGGUUGGAAGUGAGAAUGCCGGUGUAAGUAACGAAAAGACAGGUGAGAAUCCUGUCCGUCGAAAGCCCAAGGUUUCCAGGGGAAGGUUCGUCCGCCCUGGGUAAGUCGGGGCCUAAGGUGAGGCUCAAGAGCGUAGCCGAUGGACAGCAGGUAGAGAUUCCUGCACUGGUCAUAUGACCGAUGGAGUGACAGAGGAGGCUAGCGCCCGCCCCUUCAGUGGAUUGGGGACGAGGAACUGAGGCUGAUGCACAGGCAAAUCCGUGCAUCGUAAGGCUGGGGUUCGGUAGGUAAAGGGCGACAACGUCAGGCUCUCAAGAAAAGCUUCUAGGGUUAAUCAUAGGACCACCCGUACCGCAAACCGACACAGGUGGGUGGGUAGAGUAUACUAAGACGCGCGAGAAAACCCUUGUUAAGGAACUCGGCAAAAUGACUCCGUAACUUCGGGAUAAGGAGGACUUUUAAUGAAAAAAGAAAGUCGCAGAGAAUAGGCCCAAGCGACUGUUUAUCAAAAACACAGGUCCCUGCAAAACCGCAAGGUGAAGUAUAGGGGCUGACGCCUGCCCGGUGCUGGAAGAUUAAGAGGAGAUGUCAGGAAACGAAGCAUUGAAUUGAAGUCCCAGUAAACGGCGGCCGUAACUAUAACGGUCCUAAGGUAGCGAAAUUCCUUGUCGGGUAAGUUCCGACCCGCACGAAAGGCGUAACGAUUUGGGCACUGUCUCAACAAGGGACUCGGUGAAAUCAAGCUGCCGGUGAAAACGCCGGCUACCCGCGACAGGACGAUAAGACCCCAUGGAGCUUUACUGUAGCUUGAUAUUGACAUCGGGUGUAAGAUGUACAGGAUAGGUGGGAGACUGAGAAUCUAGGACGCUAGUCUUGGAGGAGUCAACCUUGGGAUACCACCCUUCGUGCAUCUGAUGUCUAACCCGCGGAAGUGGAUUCCGGGGGACAGUGUCUGGUGGGCAGUUUGACUGGGGCGGUCGCCUCCCAAAGAGUAA
RNAcentral lists this ribosomal RNA (2221 nucleotides) under activated sludge metagenome. RNAcentral describes it as "bacterial LSU rRNA". It matches the Rfam family "Bacterial large subunit ribosomal RNA", at positions 1 to 2300 of the family's 2925-position model. The record is from RNAcentral.